UCUCAAACAAUCGUUGCUCUUCUUUCAUUUUGCAUUAUUUUUACUUUUCAAACAUGCUUCUUCAAAUCAUUUACUCUCGUCAAACUCAUACCCACCAUCACCGUUUCUAGUCAAAAUUUCCUUCUCCAAACAAUAUCAUUUCCCCCUCUCCCUUUGAAACGACCUAUUUUUUUCAUUCUGCCCACCAACUGUUUGAUGAAUUAACACCCUCCACCAACCCCUUUUUUUACCCCUUUUAUUGUGCUUUCAAACUUCACUUCCCUGACUCACGGUUAACCCCUCUUCCAACUCUCCACCUUGCUUUUGUGGAGGUAAAAUGCAUAUCAUUUGUUAACCAAGUCACUUAUUGCAGACUAGAAAAAAAAAAAGGUAACAAGCAAUUUGUUCACCAAGUUUGCCCUUUUCCAUAUUGUUUAAUUUUUUUGUGUUACAUUGUCAUAUUAACUAUAGUUGCAAAAAUAAGUAACAAGCAAUUUAUUUUUCUAGAACUCAAAGACAAUAAUAGUUGAAUAUCAAGUUUUGAUUUAUGCAUAUUUUUUGUAUUGAUUUUUUGUUUGAUUGUGUUGAAAGAAAGUUAUAGUUCGAAGUGUUAGAGACUUGACCACCUUAGAUUUGCAAUUCUAUUAGGUCUUAUUCUCUUCUCUCGUGCAUUAUAAUUAUUAAGUGUGUAGAAUAACAUGUGGUGUUUGUUUAAUUUUACAAUGCACUUACUUUCCCCUCACGAGUUACUACCCUUUUGAUGAUUGAAUUUAAUUGUGUUUCUUUUAUUAUUUUAGAGAUUAUUCUUUGAUAUUUAGAACAAAAUGAUGUGUCUUUCAUUUUUAAUUUCCUCUGAAGAAAAAUAUGCAAAGAAGAAACUAUUGUUGAGUUUUGUGUUAUAUAUAUACAAAAACAUUUCUUCAAUGGUUGAGACAUUUCGCACGCGACUUGAAGGAUAAUCUUGAAGUUUAUCGAUCUGCGAUAAAUAGUAUUUGUAGUCAUUCAGAUUCUUGAUUUUUACUACAUUUUCCUAUUUGGUUUCUUAUUGCUACAGUGAGGGAGAAACUAGGAUGAAGGUAUAAUUUGUUUCAACCAUAUGCUACUUUGCAUUUGGGUGCCUUUUUUCUGAAGAUCUUUCUUUAUUUUGUAUUGGUCAUAUGAAGUUUAUGCAUGGUUCCCUUCAUAGUUGUCUAAGGUUUAGGAUUCUUUCCUUCAGCCACUAAUCUAAUGAUAACCAAUGGUUGAAAUGAAUGAGAAUGAGUAUUAUGUGGUUUUUUAUUUAGUUUGUUAGGUUGCAAUCUUCCGGUAGGUUUUCCAUUGAAAAUAUCUUAUUAGAAGCUCAACGAGCUUUGGGUAAGUGUUUUCUUUAGCGAGAGAAUUGGUUAAGUAUUUUUUGUUUAUAUUUUUUAUUAUUAACUGGUCAUUGUUUCUUACUUCCCUCUAAUUCUCUUUAUAUUUUUGUUUAUAUGUUGAUGUUGCAAUUAUGGAAAAAGAAAUCACGGAGUUCUUAUAAUUUUGGUGAUGAAACUAGUAAGGGGCACUUUCUCUUCAUUGUGCCCUUUAAAUGUUGAUUAUUGUGAUUUAAUUUUCUAUAGCCCAUUGGAAUGUUGUUUAAGCACUUCUGCAAUAGAUCUCAAUGAACCAUUUUGUUCUGAAUAUAUAUGGGACUUAUGGACAAAGGAUAUUGUGCUGAUUUUAUUCUUCCAAUGAAUUAAGGUUCAGGUUUGGCAUUGAAUAGAAUGAAUGCAAGUGAUGGAUGAGAAUGUAUUCCACAUUUGAUGAGUUUAUUUGCUUAAAUUUUGAUUUUUUUGAUUAAGCUUUACUCACAAAAAGAGUUGUAUUUUUAUGACAGUUUUGAUUUUAUGGGCCAGCAAGAAAAUUAAACCAUCUCAUAGGUAUCUAUGCCUAAGCAAGUGUCCACAUCAUCCUCCAUUGCAGGAAGUGUUCGAUCAUGACAUAGUUUUAUCUAAUGACUUGAUGUGCGAAGCAGAAAUCAACCUUCAACCAUGAUAACAUCAACAAUAGCAUUUGGAGAUGCUGAAAUGCUUGAGAAUAUGCAUAUUUGAAAGUGGUUGAAGUCGGAUGACAAUGCCCUCAUCGAUGACAACGAUGUCGUCAUCGUCAACGAAAAGCUUAAACAAGAGGUGUCACUCAAGCUCCAAAAUGUUGAUUGGUACACUUAAGAAUACUACCAUAAUAUUGAUUGCUAUACUUUUAAGACUAGAUUUAUUGUAGCUAGAUAGUUUUGGGAUAAGUUAGUUGAUUAGGAUGUUGAGUUGAAUGGCAAUUUGAUAGAGUUAUUUAUAUUGUCUUUGUAAAUGAUAUGAAAUAUUCAUAUAUAUAUAUAUAUGUAAAGUUUUGGAAAUGAUUAUAUAUAUAUAGUGAAAGAUUUUUUUUA
Molecule: RNA transcript, 2377 nt
Organism: Cucumis sativus (cucumber)
Lineage: Eukaryota; Viridiplantae; Streptophyta; Magnoliopsida; Cucurbitales; Cucurbitaceae
Exons: 3
Source: RefSeq, a predicted model, not a curated record